Long non-coding RNA from Pseudoliparis swirei, 466 nucleotides. RefSeq lists it as uncharacterized. The transcript has 4 exons. The record is from RefSeq and is a predicted model, not a curated record. Lineage: Eukaryota; Metazoa; Chordata; Actinopteri; Perciformes; Liparidae.
CUCUCCUGCGUCAGUGACUCACGAAACGCCACAGAGGGAACGACAGCCUCCUGACAUGACAGCUCUUCUUGAGAGAGAAUCAUGUCAGCCCACAGACAACCUGUUGACCUGUGAGUCUUCAAGCAGUAAUGAUGACUACGCCUGCCUUAAGUUCCAGUUUCCUGGACAUGUCGGCAUGAGAUUCUGUCCCCACCUGUCUUCAGUCUGGACCCAAUGACUCGGACACCAGUCUUGUCGAGGCUAAAUUGAGAUCAAGCAUUGACGGGAAAACACCCAAAGUCCAUCACUCAUGCACCGAGGAUCUGGCUGAUUACUGGAAAUUUGGAAGAUUGUUCUUUAUUUGCACUGUCACUUCUGGUAAAUAUUUAUGGACCUUUUGCAGAAUGUUUUGCUUUGACUUAUCAACUGAUGGUGAAUAAUUGGUUGAUUUUGAAAAUGUACAUUAAAUAAAAUGUUUUAAAAUCAA